CACUGGAACUGAGACCGGUCCAGACUCCUACGGGAGGCAGCAGUAGGGAAUAUUGCUCAAUGGGGGAAACCCUGAAGCAGCAACGCCGCGUGGAGGAUGAAGGUUUUAGGAUUGUAAACUCCUUUUGUUAGAGAAGAUAAUGACGGUAUCUAACGAAUAAGCACCGGCUAACUCCGUGCCAGCAGCCGCGGUAAUACGGAGGGUGCAAGCGUUACUCGGAAUCACUGGGCGUAAAGAGCGCGUAGGCGGGAUAGUCAGUCAGGUGUGACAAUCCUAUGGCUUAACCAUAGAACUGCAUUUGAAAAGUACUAUUUCUAGAGGUGUGGGGGAAGGAG
Molecule: ribosomal RNA, 335 nt
Filed under: Helicobacter pylori
Lineage: Bacteria; Pseudomonadati; Campylobacterota; Epsilonproteobacteria; Campylobacterales; Helicobacteraceae
Description: bacterial SSU rRNA
Rfam family: Bacterial small subunit ribosomal RNA
Source: RNAcentral